RNAcentral lists this ribosomal RNA (743 nucleotides) under uncultured bacterium. RNAcentral's name for it is "bacterial SSU rRNA". It matches the Rfam family "Bacterial small subunit ribosomal RNA", at positions 140 to 882 of the family's 1533-position model. The record is from RNAcentral.
GGGAUAGCCCGGAGAAAUUCCGGAUAAUACUCGAUCAUACAGGGGCACCGCAUGGUGCUAUUUGUUAAAGAUUUAUUGGUUAUAGAUGGGCCUGCGUUGGAUUAGCUAGUUGGUUGAGGUAACGGCUCACCAAGGCAACGAUCCAUAGGGGAACUGAGAGGUUUAUCCCCCACACUGGUACUGAGACACGGACCAGACUCCUACGGGAGGCAGCAGUGAGGAAUAUUGGUCAAUGGGCGAGAGCCUGAACCAGCCAAGUCGCGUGAAGGAUGAAGGUAUUAUGUAUUGUAAACUUCUUUUUUAGGGGAAUAAUAUCCCGGACGUGUCCGGGCUUGUAUGUACCCUACGAAUAAGCAUCGGCUAACUCCGUGCCAGCAGCCGCGGUAAUACGGAGGAUGCGAGCGUUAUCCGGAUUUAUUGGGUUUAAAGGGUGCGUAGGUGGGUCGGUCAGUCAGCGGUGAAAUCCCGGAGCUUAACUUCGGAACUGCCGUUGAAACUGCCGGUCUUGAGUGUGAACGAGGUAGGCGGAAUUCGUAGUGUAGCGGUGAAAUGCAUAGAUAUUACGAAGAACUCCGAUAGCGCAGGCAGCUUACCAGGCCACAACUGACACUGAAGCACGAAAGUGUGGGUAUCAAACAGGAUUAGAUACCCUGGUAGUCCACACAGUAAACGAUGAUAACUAACUGUUUGCGAUACACAGUAAGCGGUACAGCGAAAGCGUUAAGUUAUCCACCUGGGGAGUA